CCUACGGGAGGCAGCAGUGAGGAAUAUUGGUCAAUGGACGCAAGUCUGAACCAGCCAUACCGCGUGCAGGAAGAAGGCUCUCUGAUUUGUAAACUUCUUUUGUACGGGAGUAAAUACCUCUACGUGUCUCUGUUUGCAUGUACCCUACGAAUAAGGAUCGGCUAACUCCGUGCCAGCAGCCGCGGUAAUACGGAGGAUUCGAGCGUUAUCCGGAUUUAUUGGGUUUAAAGGGUGCGUAGGCGGUUCUAUAAGUUAGCGGUGAAAGCCCGGGGCUCAACCCUGGCAGUGCCGUUGAUACUGGCAGGCUAGAGUGUAGUUGAGGUAGGCGGAAUGCGUGGUGUAGCGGUGAAAUGCAUAGAGAUCAUGCAGAACACCGAUUGCGAAGGCAGCUUACCAAACUAUAACUGACGCUGAGGCACGAAAGCGUGGGGAGCAAACAGGAUUAGAUACCCCAGUAGUC
RNAcentral lists this ribosomal RNA (460 nucleotides) under uncultured bacterium. RNAcentral's name for it is "partial 16S ribosomal RNA". It matches the Rfam family "Bacterial small subunit ribosomal RNA", at positions 338 to 795 of the family's 1533-position model. The record is from RNAcentral.